RNAcentral lists this long non-coding RNA (1436 nucleotides) under Panax ginseng (ginseng). RNAcentral's name for it is "long non-coding RNA (PGIN_LNC008545)". Lineage: Eukaryota; Viridiplantae; Streptophyta; Magnoliopsida; Apiales; Araliaceae. The record is from RNAcentral.
UGUUCCAUUCUCUAUUCCAUUCCUUCUAUACAAACAUAACAUAAACACCUUGACCUCAAAAUUCAAUUUUUUAAAUUAUAUUGUUCAGUUCAAUACAUAUGAUAAGCACCCAUCAACAACAAUACCAAUCGCCCAACUUUAUUAAUAUAAUUACCAUUAUAAUAUUAGUACCAAAACUGAUUUCUUUAGACUUUAGAUUCACCAGCCACUGCCAGCUAUACGUACCCAAUGUCAAUCAAUACUGAUUCUUAAUUCAAACACCAUUUUAAUCAACACUAUCAAAUGGGAAAAUUAUAUGACAAUCGUUCUAGUUUAACACAAACCUUCCUCUAUUUAUAUAUGUAGCUGUCACCAUUACAAAAAUAAAGAUAAAAUUAAAAAAUGAAUCAUAAACAAAACAAAUUAAAAUUUAAAGGAAAAACAAAUAAGCACACCUUUUGACAAUUCCCACUCAGACGGUCCAUUUCCAGAUCUUAAUCCGAAGAUCCACCUUACACUUGGCAUCCGCCGUCGAGGCCACCGUCGGUGACUUUCCGGCGGGUACCGUAGCUUUCAGGCCACUACAAGUGACCCUAAUUCCAACCUUCUUAGUUUUCAACCCACCAAUCUUCACUUUCACCUUUGUAUCCAACUGCAUCUUCAGUGGCAAGCUCUUCUUGUUCUUCAAAUUCAACGAACUACCGUCAACGCUUUGACUGGUGCUAGUGAGUACUGAUUUCAGAGUAGUUGUGUUUUUGGUUCCGUGGGUGAAGGCCGGAAUUGAACCGGCGCCGACGUUAACGCCGUUAGAGGUGAUUAAAACCGUGAUUGGAUUGUAAUAGAAGGUAAUCUUUUUGUUGGGAUUACGAGCUGUGACGGUGAGGUUGAAUUUGGAGGUGAGCUUAGAGGAGGAAGUGAGGUUGAAUUGGGAGACUUGGAGCGAGGAGACAGAAAAUGAGGGGCGAUGGGGGCGGUAGAGGACGUAUAGGACGCCGCCCGUAAUUGCGACGAGGACGAGGAGAAUGAUGACGACUAGAGUAGUCCAGAGGAAGCAUGAGCAGCAGCAGCUACGGCGGCGCCGAUCGUGGUAGGGUGUUGGACGGUAUGCAGGGCGGGUGGCUUUAUAGAGUUGGGCUUUGUUGGCCGGAAAAGAUGGAUUGGUGGCGGCGCCGUUAGUGGUGGGUGCGGCGGCGCCGUUAGAGACGUUUGAGGUGGGUUUGGAGGAUGGGAAAACCUUGUCUGUCAUGGCUAUUCAAGAGUUUGCCCCUUUCUGAUCUGUUUCAAUAGGUAAUAGGUAGUGUUAUGGAUGGUGUUGUAUCUAUAAUCUAUAAAUAUAUAUAUAUAUAUAUAUAUAUAUAUAUAUAUAUAUACUUCUCCGGUUAGGGAUUGGGAAAUUUAAAGGGCGGAAGAAGGGAGUAAUUCGAAGUGACGAGAGGAUGGAAGGUGGGAGAGAGACU